This 437-nucleotide ribosomal RNA is filed under the name uncultured Clostridium sp. RNAcentral describes it as "bacterial SSU rRNA". It matches the Rfam family "Bacterial small subunit ribosomal RNA", at positions 215 to 670 of the family's 1533-position model. The record is from RNAcentral. Lineage: Bacteria; Bacillati; Bacillota; Clostridia; Eubacteriales; Clostridiaceae.
GCGGUACAGGAUGGACCCGCGUCUGAUUAGCUAGUUGGUAAGGUAACGGCUUACCAAGGCGACGAUCAGUAGCCGACCUGAGAGGGUGAUCGGCCACAUUGGAACUGAGACACGGUCCAAACUCCUACGGGAGGCAGCAGUGGGGAAUAUUGCACAAUGGGCGAAAGCCUGAUGCAGCAACGCCGCGUGAGCGAUGAAGGCCUUCGGGUCGUAAAGCUCUGUCCUCAAGGAAGAUAAUGACGGUACUUGAGGAGGAAGCCCCGGCUAACUACGUGCCAGCAGCCGCGGUAAUACGUAGGGGGCUAGCGUUAUCCGGAAUUACUGGGCGUAAAGGGUGCGUAGGUGGUUUCUUAAGUCAGAGGUGAAAGGCUACGGCUCAACCGUAGUAAGCCUUUGAAACUGGGAAACUUGAGUGCAGGAGAGGAGAGUGGAAUUCC